AGCAGCCGCGGUAAUUCCAGCUCCAAUAGCGUGUAUUAAAGUUGUUGCAGUUAAAAAGCUCGUAGUUGAAUUUCGGGGUCAGUAGGUUGGUCAUGCCUUUGGUAUGUACUGGUCUCACUGAUUCCUCCCUCUUGAAGAACUGUAAUGUCAUUAAUUUGGUGUUGCGGGGAAUCAGGACUGUUACUUUGAAAAAAUUAGAGUGUUUAAAGCAGGCUUACGCUUGAAUACAUUAGCAUGGAAUAAUGAAAUAGGACGUUUGAUCCUAUUUUGUUGGUUUCUAGGAUUGACGUAAUGAUUAAUAGGGAUAGUUGGGGGCAUUAGUAUUCAAUUGUCAGAGGUGAAAUUCUUGGAUUUAUUGAAGACUAACUACUGCGAAAGCAUUUGCCAAGGAUGUUUUCAUUAAUCAAGAACGAAAGUUAGGGGAUCGAAGACGAUCAGAUACCGUCGUAGUCUUAACCAUAAACUAUGCCGACUAGGGAUCGGAUGAUGUUAAUUUUUUAAUGACUCAUUCGGCGCCUUA
RNAcentral lists this ribosomal RNA (520 nucleotides) under uncultured Glomus. RNAcentral's name for it is "SSU rRNA". It matches the Rfam family "Eukaryotic small subunit ribosomal RNA", at positions 569 to 1090 of the family's 1831-position model. Lineage: Eukaryota; Fungi; Glomeromycota; Glomeromycetes; Glomerales; Glomeraceae. The record is from RNAcentral.